This 3786-nucleotide long non-coding RNA is filed under the name Homo sapiens (human). RNAcentral's name for it is "HSALNT0386595". The record is from RNAcentral. Lineage: Eukaryota; Metazoa; Chordata; Mammalia; Primates; Hominidae.
CAGUAGAGGAAUGGGAGCCCAGAGAGACGGUGAUGAAUGAGAAGGAGACAAACAGCUCUAGCCUGUGUGCUCCUGUCUUGUUGAGGCUGAGGGCCUGCAGGGACAUUCUGAGUGAAGAACAUGCCAGGCCCACCUGUGGACUCCAGUCGCUGGUGAUGAAGCACCUGUCAUUCUGGAUAAGGAUAGCAUGUUCAUAAAAGGGAAAUGAGUGGAGAAGGAGGGAAGGAGUUGUGAGCAAAGCAUUUAAAGCGUUGCCAGAAUAUAAGCAACAGUGCUUCAUGUCGUGAAAAACUGAGAAAAGGAGUCUUUAUGUACAGGAAGAACUCAGCAGCUGACCUCAAGAAGAAAGGAAAACAUCCUCUCUUCACUUUUCUCUGGGAUGCCUGUGCCCAGGGUCUUGAGUUUCCGACUGGGGCAUAAUGGAUUUUUGGUGGCCUGUGACUUUAUUAUGGGUCUUUUCCCAAAGUGUUUUGAAAUGAUUUUAUCCAACAUGGAUGUCUUGAUCCAAGAGAAAAAAAGGGAUCCCUUCAAAGUCCUUUCCCCAGUUUCCUGCUUAGUCCCACUCCUAGAGCCCUAGGGGGUUCUGUAGCUCCUCUAUAUUUUCAGGGAACUGAGCUGAAGCCAAUACGAGAUUUUAAAAGAUACCCUAUCCUUAAGCAAAGUGAGUGAUGGUGCUCAGCAUCCAUGCCAACGGUCAAAUUUUGGCUGUUUUAUUCACAUAUCUAUGUAAUUUGUAGUUUUUUGGGGGGUGGGGUGGAGGUGGCUGGACCAACAACAAACAGCUAAUCUAAAUGAGACAUUCCUGGAAAAUGAGGCACAUAAAGCUUUCUCUUUUCAUAUCCAAAAUGGAAUAAACAAUUCCACCAGCGACCACAGGAAUGCUGCUGGGGCACGAGGGCUUCAGCCUUCCUGAUGGUCAGGCACUGACUUUAAGCUUAGACUCUAGAAUUUGUUAAUGAGAGGCCCUCCUGGACAGGAAGGAAGGAGGCUUGCUUGGGGUCUGAUCUGUAAAGCACACUGGUGGAAGCUGUUUACAUGCAGCUACACAAGAGGCUUCUUCCUGAGUACCAGGCCACCCUCAGUAAGGCACUGAGUGAGCACCAGGCAUCACCAGGAAUGAGGUCUCUGCCCCAGUCCUGGCCAAAUGGAAUAAGCAAACAGACUGAGGGUGUGUCAGUGGCUUUCCUGAGUUCCCGCACCUGGUAAAUGAUGGAGUUUAGACUUGAAAAUUCUGCCUCCUGUCUCCAGGUCCAGGGAUCUCUCUGGGACGUCAGAGAAGUCAGUUAAUCUCUGCCACUCCUUCCUACCUGGAUGUUCAAUGAAAAGCCUGUUGGGCUUUCUGAGGACUAGAAGGGGGACACUGCCGAGAAUUCAGUGAGGCCAGCCCACACCCCCACCCCUUCUAGGAGAUUACCUUUAGAUCCUCCAGCCCCAGUCUGCAGCCUCCUGGGCUGAUGCUUUCUUUCUCUAUUUACAGACACUAAUCAUUUCCCAUGCAAUUGAACAACUUAAUAAGCUGCGAAAAUUUGAUAAGACAAUUUAAUUGUCGGCUUUUACAUAUCUGCUCAAUAUAGUUGGGUUUCUAGGGAAGGUGAGUGGGGAAUGUGAGCAGAGGCACUUAAUUAAAGAACUAAAACAGUGGGGCUAGAUUAGAGAGAACUCUGGCAGACACCAACCCUGGACCUACGUCUCUUCUCUCCCCCUUUCACAUGGGCCCUUUCUUUGAAAUUUUAUAAGCUCCAUCCUCUGGGUAGUAGCAAAAUAGAGAUGCAGGCCCAGGCACUUGAUGUGCAGUGUGGGGAGCUGACUUUGCAUGGGGCGGCUCCCAACUGUUAUCGGGGAGCUUUUUCUCGGGCCCAAAGUGGUUGGGUUUUAAGGGGAAGACCUAAUUCUGCGUGUAUGGUCGUAGCUCAAAGGGAUAGUUCAAAAUGGCCUCCUCAUUGAUGGGGAAGGAUGGGGGCUGAUUAUAAAAAAUUAUAAUCAUUUUUUUGGUCUUUUCCUCUAUCUUUUUGGGGAAUUUUAUGGCCAUUUGGGCAAUGCUGCAUCAUGGAGUAUUGAUGCCAAUUUUAAAUCACACAUCCUCAUUUUAUCUAAUUGAAUUCUCAUGCUAACUCUGAAAGGAAUAGGAAUCAUUAUUCCUAUUUCACAGGUGCAGAUCCUGAGACUCAGAGAGGUUAAGAAACUCGCCCAACGCCACACAGCUAGAUAAACACCUCAGGAUUUAAAUAGAUUGCAGGGGACACCAACAAGGCUCUGCUCAGAUCCCCUCAGAUCCCUCUGGCCCAUCUGUGCAUGCAGUAACAUCUGCUUCACCGUUGACUGCUUGAACCUGUGGAUCCACUUCACCUAAGAGCACAGAGAGCUGAAAGGGCCUGGAAUCCUGUUGCCUCCCGGGCAGCCUGCAGCCAAUGAGUAACUGGUGCUGGAAAACAGAAGGCUGCUCCCUUGCUGGAGGUAGGACAAACACUGAGGUGUAAUCUAUGCUCCAGGGUCCCCCAGGGGAUCAGGCUGAGGUUGGGACUUUGCCUAAAAUCCCACCCUUGCUUGGUUUCUUCCCUUUCCCUGUUUUUCCUUCUUCUCUCACUCUCUCAUUUCUGUUCCUUCUUCCUUAAAUAAAUCUCCUGCACACAAAUUCUCAUCUCAAGGUGUGCCUCUGGGCAGCCUGAUGUGAGAUACAGAUGUGUGUUUGACCUCAGCCUGCCCUUUCUGGAGUCCUGCAGCCUCGCCCCUUGUUUUGUGGGGUUAUCAGAUCUCGCUACGUAGACUCGGGGUACGGAAUACAUCCAGCUUGGAAUUUCUGGGUGCUCGCAAGUUCUCAGUAGAACGCUCUUGGAAUGAAUUACUUAGCCUCUUUAGGCUGCAGUUUCAUCACCUAUAAGACAGAAAUAGUAAUUGUAUUGCUCUUAAAGGACUUUUACUUUGUGGAAAGCCAAUGAGUCUGCAUAUGUAGAACACAGCAGCGAGCACAUAGUAAGUGGUCGAUAAAUCUUCAUGAUUAUGAUUAUCAGUAUUCAAGUAUUUGCCAUCUCGUCAGACCUUGGCUUGUAGUUGGGAGUCAGAAAUGAGGUCACUGUGCUGUGAGUUCUUGUUGGGCAGGAAUCUGCCAUGUGUUCCGUGCACUUUAAGCACUUAUUAAAACAUUUCGGAUAGAAACAUUUUCACAAAGGCUGCUCAUUACUGUAGCCAGCAUUUGCCUACGAAUGUCAGGAAAACCAUUUUAUGAUGUUGCUGUAAUGUGUCGUGUUCACUGUCGCAUUCUCUCUUUCGGUCUCCCUUUCACUGGUGAGACACGUUUGCCAAGCAUUUCACAAAUGCAGUGGGGGGAAAAGGGAAGAGAGGAAGAGAUGGGAAAAGGAUAGUGAAGGGAGGAGCAGGAGCAGGCAGCUCGGCGGCAUUCCCCAGGCACCGCAUUAAGGGCCUGAUUAACUUAAAAUAUUUCCCAGCUUCUGAGGCACUUGAUUAAAGUCAAUUGGGGGGAAAGAAGAUAAGCUCUUACAAGGGCUAAUUUGAGGCUUAGAAAACUUGAAUAUGUCUAAAUCUCAAAUUGUCGGGUGUGUAGCGCUGGUGAUUGUCGGGUCUGUGGGGAGAGCGUUUUAACAUGCUGGCGGUGCAUCCGCGGUACCACCUGUCCCAGCUCCCUGGUCCCCACCCUUCCUCCAGGCAACUGCCUUGCGUCCCCUCCCAUCUUCCCUUUUCUUCCGCUUGUGAGGGCUUAGACGAUUUUGCCUUUUGAAGGCACGGAAAUAGAUGGCUUUACAUUCAGAACACAGCCUCUGCCUCCUUCUU